UAUAUUAAUAAUAUAAAAUAGUUAUAAUUUUGGUGAAAUAUAUUUUAUCUUUAAAAAUUAUUUUUAUGUCUGAAAAAUUUUUUUUAUAAACUAGGAUUAGAUACCCUAUUAUUAAAAAUGUGAUAAAAUUAACUUGAUUAUUAUUAGAAAUGAUCUUUAAAUUCAAAGAAUUUGGCGGUAAUUUAUCUUAUCAGAGGAAUCUGUUUUAUGAUUGAUAAUCCACGAUAGAAAAAACUUCAAUUUAACUUGUAUAUCUCUGUCAAGAAUGUUUUAUAAGAAAAAUUUUCAUAUUAUAUAAUUAUAUAUUUAAUGUCAGGUCAAGGUGCAGUUUAUAUUGAAGAAAAAAUGGGUUACAAUUAAUUAUUUAGUGGAUUAUUUUUUUUAUAAAAGAAUAUGAAAUUGGAUUUGAUAAUAAAUUAAUUAAAUUUAAUUAAUUGAAAUUAGCUCUAAAUUAUGUACAUAUCGCCCGUCACUCUCAUAAUUUUAUUGAGAUAAGUCGUAACAAAGUAACUGUACCGGAAGGUGUAGUUAGAAAGA
RNAcentral lists this ribosomal RNA (537 nucleotides) under Maoricicada oromelaena. Its description in RNAcentral is "partial 12S ribosomal RNA". The record is from RNAcentral. Lineage: Eukaryota; Metazoa; Arthropoda; Insecta; Hemiptera; Cicadidae.